CUCAUACACACAUUUCAACAGCCCAGGGAGAGGAUGAGAGAAGGAGAGUGAUUAGGGAGAAGUAGAGAAGAAGAGAGAAAAAAAAAAAAGAAAAAAAAAAGGAAGAAAAUAUGCCUUCUUGAGUCAAGGACAUGUGGCAUCCUUCUACUCAUUUGGAGGUUAUGAGAAG
Molecule: non-coding RNA, 169 nt
Organism: Camellia sinensis
Lineage: Eukaryota; Viridiplantae; Streptophyta; Magnoliopsida; Ericales; Theaceae
Source: RefSeq, a predicted model, not a curated record